GCAUCGAUGAAGAACGUAGCGAAAUGCGAUACUUGGUGUGAAUUGCAGAAUCCCGUGAAUCAUCGAGUCUUUGAACGCAAGUUGCGCCCGAAGCCAUUAGGCCGAGGGCACGUCUGCCUGGGCGUCACCC
Molecule: ribosomal RNA, 130 nt
Filed under: Pterocephalus pulverulentus
Lineage: Eukaryota; Viridiplantae; Streptophyta; Magnoliopsida; Dipsacales; Caprifoliaceae
Description: partial 5.8S ribosomal RNA
Rfam family: 5.8S ribosomal RNA
About the family: 5.8S ribosomal RNA (5.8S rRNA) is a component of the large subunit of the eukaryotic ribosome.
Source: RNAcentral